Molecule: ribosomal RNA, 497 nt
Filed under: uncultured bacterium
Lineage: Bacteria
Description: partial 16S ribosomal RNA
Rfam family: Bacterial small subunit ribosomal RNA
Source: RNAcentral
GACGAACGCUGGCGGCGUGCCUAAUACAUGCAAGUUGAGCGCUGAAGGUUGGUACUUGUACCAACUGGAUGAGCAGCGAACGGGUGAGUAACGCGUGGGGAAUCUGCCUUUGAGCGGGGGACAACAUUUGGAAACGAAUGCUAAUACCGCAUAAAAACUUUAAACACAAGUUUUAAGUUUGAAAGAUGCAAUUGCAUCACUCAAAGAUGAUCCCGCGUUGUAUUAGCUAGUUGGUGAGGUAAAGGCUCACCAAGGCGAUGAUACAUAGCCGACCUGAGAGGGUGAUCGGCCACAGUGGGACUGAGACACGGCCCAAACUCCUACGGGAGGCAGCAGUAGGGAAUCUUCGGCAAUGGACGAAAGUCUGACCGAGCAGCGCCGCGUGAGGGAAGAAGGUUUUCGGAUCGUAAAACUCUGUUGGUAGAGAAGAACGUUGGUGAGAGUGGAAAGCUCAUCAAGUGACGGUAACUACCCAGAAAGGGACGGCUAACUACGUG